RNAcentral lists this ribosomal RNA (455 nucleotides) under Cylindrotheca sp. NC1_4. RNAcentral describes it as "SSU rRNA". It matches the Rfam family "Eukaryotic small subunit ribosomal RNA", at positions 623 to 1084 of the family's 1831-position model. The record is from RNAcentral. Lineage: Eukaryota; Bacillariophyta; Bacillariophyceae; Bacillariales; Bacillariaceae.
AAAGCUCGUAGUUGGAUUUGUGGUGUACUUCGGCGGCCCGUCACUAUGUGAUGGAGCUUGCUGAAGUCGCCAUCCUUGGGUGGAUCCUGUGUGGCAUUAAGUUGUCGUGCAGGGGAUGCCCAUCGUUUACUGUGAAAAAAUUAGAGUGUUCAAAGCAGGCUUAUGCCGUUGAAUAUAUUAGCAUGGAAUAAUAAGAUAGGACCUUGGUACUAUUUUGUUGGUUUGCGCACCAAGGUAAUGAUUAAUAGGGACAGUUGGGGGUAUUCGUAUUUCAUUGUCAGAGGUGAAAUUCUUGGAUUUUUGAAAGACGAACUACUGCGAAAGCAUUUACCAAGGAUGUUUUCAUUAAUCAAGAACGAAAGUUAGGGGAUCGAAGAUGAUUAGAUACCAUCGUAGUCUUAACCAUAAACUAUGCCGACAAGGGAUUGGUGGAGUUUCGUUAUGUCUCCAUCAGC